Molecule: long non-coding RNA, 542 nt
Filed under: Homo sapiens (human)
Lineage: Eukaryota; Metazoa; Chordata; Mammalia; Primates; Hominidae
Description: non-protein coding lnc-TIAF1-1:1
Source: RNAcentral
CAGGUGGCGAGUGGCGGCUGAAGUAUGAGCGGGCUGUGCGGGAGGUGGACUUCACCAAGAAACGGCUCCAGCAGGAGUUUGAGGACAAGCUGGAGGUGGAGCAGCAGAACAAGAGGCAGCUGGAACGGCGGGUGAGGCUGGGGAGGAGCUGAGGCCUGUGCCUGGGAGGGCCAGGAGAGGACUGGUGCCUUGUGUCGGUCCAGUGAACUCUGGGGGCAGGCAGGCCUGGCUGGAAUGGAUCGGGGAGGCUGGCAUGUUAGCUUCUUGGUGCAGGGGCAAUCAGGAGCAAGCUAUCAUUAGAGCUUCUUCAGUUCCCUGGGAGACCCGACUUCCUCCUGCAUCCCUGGGUCUUCCCCUCACUCACCCACUUCCCUCUCCUCACCUUCUCCACCUAUGCUUCUGGGUCUCUCUGUAUAUGCACCCCAUCUUGGCCCCUAGCUCGGGGACCUGCAGGCAGACGGAGAAGCUGCAGGACUGUCCCCACCCCAGCUGCCUCUCUGUGGGCCUAUGCCAGACCUCUAGUAAGGGAGUUCAGCUGCUCU